AUGGACUCGGAGCACUGGAUCUCGCGCCUGGCCGCCGCCAAGCGGUUCUACGCCGCGCAGCUCGGCCACGCCGAUCGGGCGGGGAUGGACGAGCUGGACAUGGACGGCGACGAGAACGCGGGCAGGCCCGACUUCGCCUGCCCCUACUGCUACGAGGACCACGACGUCGCCUCCCUCGUCGCCCACCUCGAGGAGGACCACCCCUUCGAGCCCCACGCCGCGCCUUGCCCUGUCUGCUCCGAAAAGGUUUCUAAAGAUAUGCUUAACCAUAUCACCAUGCAACAUGGGUACUUGUUCAAGAAUCGCCGCAGGUUGCGCAGAUUUGCUGUUCCAGGCAGCCAGUCGCUCUCUCUGCUGAGCCGGGAUCUACGUGAAGCCCAUUUGCAGGUGCUUCUGGGAGGUGGUGGACAUAGGUCGAGCAACAAUAAUGCCACAAAUAUUUCAGCUGAUCCUCUUCUGUCAUCAUUUGGCCUUAGCUUCCCAACGUUAGAUGCUGAGGAAACAUCAAAAUUGUCUACUCCUGCUCAGAGUGAUGUACCAGUGCUAAAAGAGGCAGCUGCUCGACCAUGGCGGUCAAGUAUUGACUCGUCGCUCACAAGGGAAGAAAGGGAGCAAGCCAGAGUGAGAGCGGCAUUUGUGCAAGACCUGCUGCUCUCCACCCUAUUCAGAGACCAAUAA
RNAcentral lists this ribosomal RNA (678 nucleotides) under Triticum aestivum (bread wheat). RNAcentral describes it as "partial small subunit ribosomal RNA". The record is from RNAcentral. Lineage: Eukaryota; Viridiplantae; Streptophyta; Magnoliopsida; Poales; Poaceae.